Chelonoidis abingdonii (Abingdon island giant tortoise) is the source of this 127-nucleotide non-coding RNA. The record is from RefSeq and is a predicted model, not a curated record. Lineage: Eukaryota; Metazoa; Chordata; Testudines; Testudinidae.
CAACCUGGACGCUCUGGCGUGCAUCAAACUGAUAUCCUUCCGACGUCUGGUGGAGUCUUCAGGAAAGCAGCGGGGGUUACAGAGUGCCACUGCAGCAAUGUUAACCACCCUCACCAUGUUUCAUGUU